AGUGAACGCUGGCGGUAGGCCUAACACAUGCAAGUCGAACGGCAGCACAGUAAGAGCUUGCUCUUACGGGUGGCGAGUGGCGGACGGGUGAGGAAUACAUCGGAAUCUACUUUUUCGUGGGGGAUAACGUAGGGAAACUUACGCUAAUACCGCAUACGACCUACGGGUGAAAGCAGGGGAUCUUCGGACCUUUCGCGAUUGAAUGAGCCGAUGUCGGAUUAGCUAGUUGGCGGGGUAAAGGCCCACCAAGGCGACGAUCCGUAGCUGGUCUGAGAGGAUGAUCAGCCACACUGGAACUGAGACACGGUCCAGACUCCUACGGGAGGCAGCAGUGGGGAAUCUUGGGCAAUGGGCGCAAGCCUGAUCCAGCCAUACCGCGUGAGUGAAGAAGGCGUUCGGGUUGUAAAGCCCUUUUGUUGGGAAAGAAAAGCAGCAGGUUAAUACCCCGCUGUUCUGACGGUACCCAAAGAAUAAGCACCGGCUAACUUCGUG
Molecule: ribosomal RNA, 492 nt
Filed under: uncultured bacterium
Lineage: Bacteria
Description: partial 16S ribosomal RNA
Rfam family: Bacterial small subunit ribosomal RNA
Source: RNAcentral